RNAcentral lists this long non-coding RNA (1473 nucleotides) under Homo sapiens (human). Its description in RNAcentral is "HSALNT0061862". Lineage: Eukaryota; Metazoa; Chordata; Mammalia; Primates; Hominidae. The record is from RNAcentral.
UCCAAGGUGAAGGUGCCGGCAGCUCUGAUGUCUGAGGUGACCAUGGAAGCAUGUGUGUUGAAAGAGGAAAGCAAGCUGGAAUGCAGCGUGAACACAUGGAGUACAGCUGCUAUAAAGAGUGACUGAGGAGACUGCAGUAGACUUGCCUGAUUGAAAAUUUAACUUUUUUUGUGUUAAAUCAUUGAGAUUUUAGGGUUGCUUAUUACCACGGCACAACCUAGCCUAUCAUGACUGGUGUGUGUAUGUGUAUAUAUAUAUAUGUGUGUGUGUGUGUAUAAUGUGUAUGUGUGUGUAUAUAUAAUAUAGGAGCUUUUAAAGGAAAAUAAAUUUAGUAAUUAAAAUAGGACAAAAUGAAAGAUACCAAAUAUCUGUUUGUGCAAUAUCACACGACAUUUUUGUGAUUUGCAUUGAUCUCAGUAGAAUAUAUCAUAGAAUAUGUAGAAUAUAUAAUACUCAGUAGAUUAUAUAUAUAUGAUAUAUAUAUGAUGUAUAUAUAUCAUAAUACAUCACUUACUCAGCUCUGCAGUAAGUAUCUCUAAGCCUUCUCUAAAUGCUCACAUUCUGCUGUUAUUAGGAUAAUCACAUUAAUUUCUAUUGCCUUAUACCCCUCUAAAAUUAGUCUUCAAUAUCACAUUUUUAUAACUAUUUAGAAUAAAUGUUAAUGGUUGGGGAAAGGAAUGUCAAAGGAGAGAUGUUCUUUUGAGAUAAGCACUUUAAAAAUCACAGAAGUUUAUUGGCUUCAUUUUUCAUAGGAGUUUUAAAGAACAUAGUUCAUUUUAGAGAAUGUCUAGUUGCUCUGGAUGGCUGUAUCAUAAGGUCACAAGGAGAGGAGAAUUGUGACAAAAAAUGUACAUGGAUAAUUCUUUCCUGUGUUGCCUUACAUCUAUAUAUCACAACAAGAGAUUACAGUCCAUUAAGUUCUACAACAUUUUCAUUAAAAAUACAAUCUGAAUCCUAAGAGGAAAAUACUAGCUACCAGAAACAUAAGAUUCUCAGAGAGCUUAGUGUGCUGCAUGUUAAGUUGCAGACAGACAUGCUAGUUUUCUUUGAAUCAGUAUCUUAAAUCUAUCCCCUUAUUUUUCCAUCUAAUUUUCAGCAGGUCACUCUCAAGUCAAAAUUUAAUUUUAUGUGGUUGAAGUUGUGGAGCCAAAAUGAAAUUGCAUGCUGUAGGGGGAAAAAAUUUAACCUACUUUUAAUAGCCCCUUUGAAAGAUACUUUGAAGACAUGACUUACUCUCGUAGUAUGUUGACUAUCUGAAGAAUGAAUUAUUAUAUCCUUGUCAAAUUUUAAAUAUCACGCUGUUAAAAAUAUUAGUCACACAGGGGGCUGCUUGACAGUAAUGUCACAGAAAAGCUCUGGUCUAUAUGAACAGGCAGAGUCUGAAACUUAAUACCAUGGUUCCAUGGAGCUCUGUCUUCCAUGGGCAACUGCUGAGGGGUGGGGAUGGGGGUGGGAAACUGCUUCAAGUUUCCU